UUUCCGCGCCUAAAAAAAAAAACCCUAAUCUCCCUUUCUUCUUGCUCCCCAAUCCAGGAUUCGCCUCCACCGUCGAGUUGUUUUUUUGGGGGUUCCUCUAUCAGUAGGUUGAAUUUGAAUUUACGAGCUGUGAUUUGUUGAAGAUAUGUAUAGGGAUCGAGGAGGAGGAGGGGGGAUUGGUGGUUCUUCGAAAUCGGAGAUCGUAGGUGGUACCUUGGAUCGGAAGCGUAUCAACGAUGCUCUCGAUAAGCACCUGGAGAAGACUUCUCCGUCUACUUCAAGAGGUCUUCAUAGUAAGGAGAAGGAGAGGCUCUCUGUGCCGUCCACUUCGACUGGUAAACCACAGCUUGAUCAUCGUUCUGCCUCUCUAUCCAAGAAUAAAUGCUCCGAUGAGGAAUCUGAAACAGACAGCGAAGAAUCAGAUGUCAGUGGUUCAGACGGAGAUGAUACAUCAUGGAUUUCGUGGUUUUGCAAUUUG
This 478-nucleotide unclassified non-coding RNA is filed under the name Hevea brasiliensis (rubber tree). The record is from RNAcentral. Lineage: Eukaryota; Viridiplantae; Streptophyta; Magnoliopsida; Malpighiales; Euphorbiaceae.